AUUGAACGCUGGCGGCGUGCUUAACACAUGCAAGUCGAGCGGUAACAGGCGUAGCAAUACGUGCUGACGAGCGGCGAACGGGUGCGUAAUACAUGGGAAUCUGCCCUUUGGUGGGGAAUAACCCGGCGAAAGCCGGGCUAAUGCCGCAUAAGAUCUUCGGAUGAAAGCGGGGGAUCGUAAGACUUCGCGCCGAUGGAUGAGCCCAUGUCGGAUUAGCUAGUUGGUGAGGUAACGGCUCACCAAGGCGACGAUCCGUAGCUGGUCUGAGAGGACGGCCAGCCACACUGGGACUGAGACACGGCCCAGACUCCUACGGGAGGCAGCAGUGGGGAAUAUUGGACAAUGGGCGAAAGCCUGAUCCAGCGACGCCGCGUGUGUGAAGAAGGCCUGCGGGUUGUAAAGCACUUUCGAUGGGAACGAAAUGUGUCGGGCUAAUACCCCGGCAAGCUGACGUUACUCAAUGAAGAAGCACCGGCUAACUCUGUGCCAGCCGCCGCCGUAA
RNAcentral lists this ribosomal RNA (502 nucleotides) under uncultured bacterium. RNAcentral describes it as "partial 16S ribosomal RNA". It matches the Rfam family "Bacterial small subunit ribosomal RNA", at positions 29 to 523 of the family's 1533-position model. The record is from RNAcentral.